UACGGAGGGUGCAAGCGUUAUCCGGAUUCACUGGGUUUAAAGGGUGCGGAGGUGGGUUGGUAAGUCAGUGGUGAAAUCUCCGAGCUUAACUUGGAAACUGCCAUUGAUACUAUCAGUCUUGAAUAUUGUGGAGGUCAGCGGAAUAUGUCAUGUAGCGGUGAAAUGCUUAGAUAUGACAUAGAACACCAAUUGCGAAGGCAGCUGGCUACACAUAUAUUGACACUGAGGCACGAAAGCGUGGGGAUCAAACAGG
RNAcentral lists this ribosomal RNA (253 nucleotides) under uncultured bacterium. Its description in RNAcentral is "partial 16S ribosomal RNA". It matches the Rfam family "Bacterial small subunit ribosomal RNA", at positions 524 to 776 of the family's 1533-position model. The record is from RNAcentral.